AGUGCUUCUAGCUUCAUAGCUAUGAUCAAAAGUGUAAGAACUGUUCUUCUCAGUUUAAUCGCUGGGACAAAGUUCAUUGAUCUUAAUUCGAGAUUAAAUUGAUUUUUGUAACUUUACAGACACUCCAAGGCUUGCCAAGCUCUGUCGUAGUGGACCUUACAUUGCAUUACAGUUUGGUCUGCUUGUUUAA
Molecule: small nuclear RNA, 190 nt
Filed under: Schmidtea mediterranea
Lineage: Eukaryota; Metazoa; Platyhelminthes; Tricladida; Dugesiidae
Description: U2 spliceosomal RNA
Rfam family: U2 spliceosomal RNA
About the family: U2 is a small nuclear RNA (snRNA) component of the spliceosome (involved in pre-mRNA splicing). Complementary binding between U2 snRNA (in an area lying towards the 5' end but 3' to hairpin I) and the branchpoint sequence (BPS) of the intron results the bulging out of an unpaired adenosine, on the BPS, which initiates a nucleophilic attack at the intronic 5' splice site, thus starting the first of two transesterification reactions that mediate splicing.
Source: Rfam by way of RNAcentral